RNAcentral lists this unclassified non-coding RNA (381 nucleotides) under Bacillus sp. (in: firmicutes). Its description in RNAcentral is "Bacillus sp. (in: Bacteria) contains 16S-23S intergenic spacer region". Lineage: Bacteria; Bacillati; Bacillota; Bacilli; Caryophanales; Bacillaceae. The record is from RNAcentral.
UCCGGCUUGUCACCGGCGGUUUCCCCAGAGUGCCCACCACUACGUGCUGGCAACUGAGGAUGGGGGUUGCGCUCGUUGCGGGACUUAACCCAACAUCUCACGACACGAGCUGACGACAACCAUGCACCACCUGUCACCGUGUCCCCCGAAGGGAAACGCUCUGUCUCCAGAGUUGUCACGGGAUGUCAAGACCUGGUAAGGUUCUUCGCGUUGCUUCGAAUUAAACCACAUGCUCCACCGCUUGUGCGGGCCCCCGUCAAUUCCUUUGAGUUUCAGUCUUGCGACCGUACUCCCCAGGCGGAGUGCUUAAUGCGUUAGCUGCAGCACUAAAGGGCGGAAACCCUCUAACACUUAGCACUCAUCGUUUACGGCGUGGACUAC